CUAAUGAUUUAUGGUCAUCAUUUGCUCCUGUGUCUGCCUUCCUUAGAUCCGUUCCAAAGGUCCAACAAUUUGUGGAAGAAGUGGUCCCACAGUACAGUCCUUCAGACUUCAAAAGUCAUUUCCGAUUGUCCAGGGGACAUGUGGAAGAUGUGAUGACGACUAUUGGCCCGUUCUACUGGAACAGACAGCACAGUGUUCUGACCGGCUGGAGGGGGAUGCCAGGUGAGGAGUGCCAGCUUGGGAUCUAGCAGGCCUUACAGGAGCAGGCCUUACAGGAGCAGGCCUUUCAUCAGGAGCAGGCCUUUCGUCAGGAGCAGGUCUUUCAUCAGGA
Gymnodraco acuticeps is the source of this 331-nucleotide long non-coding RNA. RefSeq lists it as uncharacterized. The transcript has 3 exons. Lineage: Eukaryota; Metazoa; Chordata; Actinopteri; Perciformes; Bathydraconidae. The record is from RefSeq and is a predicted model, not a curated record.